UCUUGCGCAAUGGGGGAAACCCUGACGCAGCAAUGCCGCGUGAGUGAAGAAGGCCUUCGGGUCGUAAAGCUCUGUCUGGCGGGAAGAAUAGCCGGGAGGUUAACAGCCCCCCGGUGUGACGGUACCGCUAGAGGAAGCACCGGCUAACUCCGUGCCAGCAGCCGCGGUAAGACGGAGGGUGCAAGCGUUAUUCGGAAUCAUUGGGCGUAAAGAGCGUGUAGGCGGCCGGUCAAGUCAGAGGUGAAAGCCCAGGGCUCAACCCUGGAAGGGCCUUUGAAACUGGUCGGCUUGAGUGCGGGAGAGGGAAGUGGAAUUCAUGGUGUAGAGGUGAAAUUCGUAGAUAUCAGGAGGAACACCGGUGGCGAAGGCGACUUCCUGGACCGACACUGACGCUGAGACGCGAAAGCGUGGGGAGCAAACAGG
This 423-nucleotide ribosomal RNA is filed under the name uncultured bacterium. Its description in RNAcentral is "bacterial SSU rRNA". It matches the Rfam family "Bacterial small subunit ribosomal RNA", at positions 362 to 776 of the family's 1533-position model. The record is from RNAcentral.